This is a long non-coding RNA of Oxyura jamaicensis (ruddy duck), 598 nucleotides long. RefSeq lists it as uncharacterized. The transcript is spliced from 3 exons. Lineage: Eukaryota; Metazoa; Chordata; Aves; Anseriformes; Anatidae. The record is from RefSeq and is a predicted model, not a curated record.
UGGGUCAGACAAGUUACAGGAACUGUGGAUUGGUUGGAUGGGGAUCCACCUAGCAACACCACCACACUAAUGCUGGAUUGGGAAAUUUGCCCUACAGGAGUUUGUCUUGAUUAAAGGCUUCAGUCUGUCUUUGCAACACAAACAUAGGAGCCCCCAUGCUGCUCUCUGAAAUUUACAGCGUAUUUUCUUUUAACUCAAGCAUAUUGAAGCAGAACAGAAGAAAGGAUCAAAGGUUCUUGUGCCUGCUUACAGUUCAUCUGCUGCAUUCCUACUUGAGGGUCCCCAGGCUGCAGCUUGCUUAGGUCUGGAAUUGCCAUCCAGCAUGUGGCUGCCCUCACUUGCUCCAAUCCAUGUAUAUACAACUGCAGUGUGAGGUUAAAAGUGUUGGGGCUAAAGUCAAGGUGGUGAAGGACCUCCUUGGCAGAACAAAGUCACAGCACCCUCAGGAGCGCAAUGGCAUGUGGUGAGGAGCUGUGGACAGGACCAGGAGAAGAGGCCAGGGCUGGAGCAAGUCUGUAUCCUGCUGCAGCCCCGUUGCCCCCACGCUGUGGCCUGUUGCAUCCUAUAGGAAGCAGAGUGGUGCUUGUGCUACUUCAAG